UACAGAGGGUGCAAGCGUUAAUCGGAAUUACUGGGCGUAAAGCGUGCGCAGACGGUUGCGUAAGUCAGAUGUGAAAGCCCCGGGCUCAACCUGGGAACUGCAUUUGAUACUCUGGUGCUGGAGUUCGGGAGAGGAGAGUGGAAUUCCCAGUGUAGAGGUGAAAUUCGUAGAUAUUCGCAAGAACACCAGUGGCGAAGGCGGCUCACUGGCCCGGUACUGACGCUGAGGUGACGAAAGCGUGGGGAGCAAACGGG
RNAcentral lists this ribosomal RNA (254 nucleotides) under uncultured bacterium. RNAcentral's name for it is "partial 16S ribosomal RNA". It matches the Rfam family "Bacterial small subunit ribosomal RNA", at positions 524 to 776 of the family's 1533-position model. The record is from RNAcentral.